Molecule: unclassified non-coding RNA, 241 nt
Filed under: Hevea brasiliensis (rubber tree)
Lineage: Eukaryota; Viridiplantae; Streptophyta; Magnoliopsida; Malpighiales; Euphorbiaceae
Source: RNAcentral
CAACUAUCUGGAUCUUACAAUUACAGCUGCAAUGAAGGAAUAUAAUGAAGUCAAACCUGCUAGGACAGAGCUAUUCCGGAGUCCACUUGUUUCAUUCUUGUAUGAACGAGGGUGGCGUCAAAAUUUUAAUCAAAGUGGCUUCCCUGGUCCUGAUGAAGAGUUCAAAAUGGCUCAGGAGUACUUCAAACCAGCAGAAGGUGGUCUCCUAGUUGAUGUUAGCUGUGGCAGCGGAUUGUUUUUC